ACAAGAACAUACAGCAAUCAGUUACCGGACAGCUCUGAAACACGCUGGACAGGUCUGAAACAUACUGGACAGGUCUGAACACGCUGGACAGGUCUGAAACAUACUGGACAGGUCUGAACACGCUGGACAGGUCUGAAACACGCUGGACAGGUCUGAAACACGCUGGACAGGUCUGAAACACGCUGGACAGGUCUGAAACACGCUGGACAGCUCUGAAACACGCUGGACAGCUCUGAAACACGCUGGACAGGUCUGAACACAACACACCUCCUCAAUCUCGCUUGUAAUAAUUCACACGAGGAAAAUAAGAAAUGUUGAGCUGUGUGAGAACCACUCUUUAUAGACCAUGGUUCACAACAUCUGUUUAUCACGAACCUGACCAUGGUUCACACCAUCUGUUUAUCACUAACCUGACCAUGGUUCACACCAUCUGUUUAUCACUAACCUGACCAUGGUUCACACCAUCUGUUUAUCACUAACCUGACCAUGGUUCACACCAUCUGUUUAUCACUAACCUGACCAUGGUUCACAACAUCUGUUUAUCACUAACCUGACCAAUAAAAUCAAUCAUUUAAUGAG
Long non-coding RNA from Coregonus clupeaformis (lake whitefish), 579 nucleotides. RefSeq lists it as uncharacterized. NCBI's taxonomy places the organism in Eukaryota, Metazoa, Chordata, Actinopteri, Salmoniformes, Salmonidae. The record is from RefSeq and is a predicted model, not a curated record. The transcript has 2 exons.